This is a transfer RNA of Colletotrichum tofieldiae, 111 nucleotides long. It matches the Rfam family "tRNA". Rfam says of the family: Transfer RNA (tRNA) molecules are approximately 80 nucleotides in length. Their secondary structure includes four short double-helical elements and three loops (D, anti-codon, and T loops). The record is from Rfam. Lineage: Eukaryota; Fungi; Ascomycota; Sordariomycetes; Glomerellales; Glomerellaceae.
GCGGACAUAGCUCAGUUGGGAGAGCGUCAGACUGAAGCGGGCUCCAAACGGGGCUUGAGAAACUUCAUUCAAUCAAUCUGAAGGUCGUGUGUUCAAUCCACACUGGCCGCA